RNAcentral lists this ribosomal RNA (492 nucleotides) under uncultured bacterium. RNAcentral's name for it is "partial 16S ribosomal RNA". It matches the Rfam family "Bacterial small subunit ribosomal RNA", at positions 29 to 507 of the family's 1533-position model. The record is from RNAcentral.
AGUGAACGCUGGCGGUAGGCCUAACACAUGCAAGUCGAGCGGCAGCACAGUAAGAGCUUGCUCUUACGGGUGGCGAGUGGCGGACGGGUGAGGAAUACAUCGGAAUCUACUUUUUCGUGGGGGAUAACGUAGGGAAACUUACGCUAAUACCGCAUACGACCUACGGGUGAAAGCAGGGGAUCUUCGGACCUUGCGCUAUUGAAUGAGCCGAUGUCGGAUUAGCUAGUUGGCGGGGUAAAGGCCCACCAAGGCGACGAUCCGUAGCUGGUCUGAGAGGAUGAUCAGCCACACUGGAACUGAGACACGGUCCAGACUCCUACGGGAGGCAGCAGUGGGGAAUAUUGGACAAUGGGCGCAAGUCUGAUCCAGCCAUACCGCGUGGGUGAAGAAGGCCUUCGGGUUGUAAAGCCCUUUUGUUGGGAAAGAAAAGCAGCAGGUUAAUACCCCGCUGUUCUGACGGUACCCAAAGAAUAAGCACCGGCUAACUUCGUG